AUGCCAGGAUCACAAGCCGACGAGAUUGACUGGGAGAAUUUAUCGAACAAGGAGCUUCAUGAUAAGUUUCAGCAAAUGAUGACUGAACAGGUGCAAGAUGUGCUGAACAAUUUUGAAGAGGCCAUGGAGAAGAUCACUGGCCUUGAGAAGACGUUCGAAACAAAGCUCGAUAACAGAUUUAAUGAAUUGCUCGCGCGUCUUCCACCACCACCACCCGCUGCACCUAACGCACCUCUCCAACAACAACAACAACGACUACCUCCACGUCGCGAAAUAGACCUUCGCCGAGCGAGCCGUGUUCCUCUUGCGUUUGGCCAAACUGUUGGUGCUGCUGUUGAUACUUCUGUGGCUCCUGCUGCUGAUGCGGAGGAGGAUGAUUAUGUGGGAGACUAUGAGGAUGAGGUUGAUCAAAAUCAACACUACGUGCAGCCACCAGCACCACCACCAGCAGGUCGACCUCAGGUAUAUAUUCGUAAUGGUAGGCCUGCACCACCACCUCAGGUACGAGAUGAUGUCCAUAUUCCUAAACUGAAAUUGAAUAUUCCAUCAUUUGAGGGUAGAUAUGUUCCUGAUAUAUAUCUUACUUGGGAGUUAGAAACUGAACAACGAUUUACAUGUUUACAAUAUCCUGAGGAGAGACGAGUUGCUGCUGCUGUUUGUGCUUUCACUAGUUUUGCAUGUGUAUGGUGGUCUGAACAUUGUAGAUUAUAUCCUAUUCCAACUACUUGGGCUGCUUUGAAAACUGCUAUGCGUACGCAUUGGGUUCCACCAUAUUAUCAACGUGAAUUGCUUCAAAAAUUGCAGCGUUUAAGACAAGGGAAAAAUUCUGUAGAAGAAUAUUAUCAGGAAUUACAAACUGGCAUGAUUAGAUGUGGUAUUGUUGAGGAGAAUGAAGCUAUGCUUGCACGUUUUCUGGGUGGAUUAAAUAGAGAGAUUCAGACCAUUCUAGACUAUAAGGAGUAUACUAAUAUCACUCGUUUAUUCCAUCUUGCUUGUAAAGCUGAACGUGAAGUGCAGGAUCGACAAGCAUUGGGGCGAACUAACUUUUCUGCAGGCCGACCUUCAUCAUGGACACCACGUGCAUCUUCUACUUCAACUGCACCAGCACCUCCAUCCGGUGCCACCUCCAGCCGUGAUACAAGAAAACAGGCACAACCACCAUUAUCUGCCAAGAGCGCACCUGCGGGGCCUGCACAGCGUUCUUCUUCUUCCAUGGCAUCAACAGGGCACACAAGUGAUAUUAUUUGUCGUCGUUGUAAGGGAGGAGGUCAUUAUGCGAGAGAAUGCAAAUCUCCGCGUGUGAUGAUUGCUACCGCGGAUGGUGGAUAUGAGUCUGCUAGUGACUAUGAUGAGGAGACUUUGGCUCUUAUUACACGUGAAGAACAUGGUGGAGAUGAUUCUGAUCAUGAGACGCAAUACAUGGCUCCUGAAGACGCUGACAGGUAUGAAUGUUUAGUUGCUCAACGUGUUUUGAGUGUGCAGAUCACACAAGCUAAACAAAAUCAGAGGCACAAUUUGUUCCAUACCAAGGGAGUUGUGAAGGAACGUUCUGUGCGCGUCAUCAUAGACGGAGGGAGCUGCAACAACUUGGCUAGCAUGGAGAUGGUGGAGAAGCUUUCUCUCACCACAAGACCACAUCCACAUCCUUACUACAUCCAAUGGUUCAAACAACAGCGGCAAGGUUAA
Molecule: ribosomal RNA, 1686 nt
Filed under: Triticum aestivum (bread wheat)
Lineage: Eukaryota; Viridiplantae; Streptophyta; Magnoliopsida; Poales; Poaceae
Description: partial small subunit ribosomal RNA
Source: RNAcentral